GCCAGUGUGGCUUAGUUGGUUAAGCAUUGCCCUGUGCACUGAAAGGGCCCAGGUUUGAUUCCUGGCCAGGGCA
RNAcentral lists this transfer RNA (73 nucleotides) under Myotis lucifugus (little brown bat). It matches the Rfam family "tRNA". From Rfam's summary of the family: Transfer RNA (tRNA) molecules are approximately 80 nucleotides in length. Their secondary structure includes four short double-helical elements and three loops (D, anti-codon, and T loops). The record is from Rfam by way of RNAcentral. Lineage: Eukaryota; Metazoa; Chordata; Mammalia; Chiroptera; Vespertilionidae.